CGCGUAGGUGGUUUUGUAAGUUGGAGGUGAAAUCCCCGGGCUCAACCUGGGAACUGCCUCCAAAACUGCAUGACUAGAGUACGGUAGAGGGUAGUGGAAUUUCCUGUGUAGCGGUGAAAUGCGUAGAUAUAGGAAGGAACACCAGUGGCGAAGGCGACUACCUGGACUGAUACUGACACUGAGGUGCGAAAGCGUGGGGAGGCAAAACA
Molecule: ribosomal RNA, 209 nt
Filed under: uncultured bacterium
Lineage: Bacteria
Description: partial 16S ribosomal RNA
Rfam family: Bacterial small subunit ribosomal RNA
Source: RNAcentral